GAUGAACGCUGGCGGCGUGCCUAAUACAUGCAAGUCGAGCGAACAGACGAGGAGCUUGCUCCUCUGACGUUAGCGGCGGACGGGUGAGUAACACGUGGAUAACCUACCUAUAAGACUGGGAUAACUUCGGGAAACCGGAGCUAAUACCGGAUAAUAUAUUGAACCGCAUGGUUCCAUAGUGAAAGACGGUUUUGCUGUCACUUAUAGAUGGAUCCGCGCCGCAUUAGCUAGUUGGUAAGGUAACGGCUUACCAAGGCAACGAUGCGUAGCCGACCUGAGAGGGUGAUCGGCCACACUGGAACUUGGCCACGGUCCAGACUCCUACGGGAGGCAGCAGUAGGGAAUCUUCCGCAAUGGGCGAAAGCCUGACGGAGCAACGCCGCGUGAGUGAUGAAGGUCUUCGGAUCGUAAAACUCUGUUAUUAGGGAAGAACAAAUGUGUAAGUAACUAUGCACGUCUUGACGGUACCUAAUCAGAAAGCCACGGCUAACUACGUG
This 497-nucleotide ribosomal RNA is filed under the name uncultured bacterium. Its description in RNAcentral is "partial 16S ribosomal RNA". It matches the Rfam family "Bacterial small subunit ribosomal RNA", at positions 28 to 507 of the family's 1533-position model. The record is from RNAcentral.